Molecule: ribosomal RNA, 490 nt
Filed under: uncultured bacterium
Lineage: Bacteria
Description: partial 16S ribosomal RNA
Rfam family: Bacterial small subunit ribosomal RNA
Source: RNAcentral
AUUGAACGCUGGCGGCAGGCCUAACACAUGCAAGUCGAACGGUAACAGGAAGAAGCUUGCUUCUUUGUUGACGAGUGGCGGACGGGUGAGUAAUGUCUGGGAAACUGCCUGAUGGAGGGGGAUAACUACUGGAAACGGUAGCUAAUACCGCAUAACGUCGCAAGACCAAAGAGGGGGACCUUCGGGCCUCUUGCCAUCGGAUGUGCCCAGAUGGGAUUAGCUAGUAGGUGGGGUAACGGCUCACCUAGGCGACGAUCCCUAGCUGGUCUGAGAGGAUGACCAGCCACACUGGAACUGAGACACGGUCCAGACUCCUACGGGAGGCAGCAGUGGGGAAUAUUGCACAAUGGGCGCAAGCCUGAUGCAGCCAUGCCGCGUGUAUGAAGAAGGCCUUCGGGUUGUAAAGUACUUUCAGCGGGGAGGAAGGGAGUAAAGUUAAUACCUUUGCUCAUUGACGUUACCCGCAGAAGAAGCACCGGCUAACUCCGUG